GAAAAGGAGAGCAACAAAAAUGGGGGAAAAUCAGUAUAAAUAAAUAAUAAAAAGGAGAGAGAAGAAACGGUCCAGCGAUUGUAAAAUGGCAACGGAGGAGAAGCUCCUCCUUUUCCUUGACAGAUCUCUUUCUCUUCUUCGCUGUUAUUUUAAAAUUCUUUAAUGAAUUUGAAUGCCUUUGAUUAGAUCAACCAACAACGAUCUCGAUUAAUCAAAUGAAAUGCAAAUCAAACUCCAAAAUACGUGAUUCGAAUGUGAAAUUUCGUCAUUGUUGGAAUUACUUUUGUUGGUAAUAAAGAAAGAGGGUGAAUGGUGGUUGGAAAAGAGAAAAAGAAAAGGAGGAGGCGGAGGAGGUGGGUAUUGUUUUAAGUGUAAUGUCUUGUGGGGGAAAGGAAAAGCAAUGGAGUUGUGGAAAAGCCGCCGCCGCCGCCGCCGCCGCUGCCGGAGCCGUCAAUAUUCAAAGAGUUGGUUCUAUCGUUCGCGACAUUGGAGAUCCUUGCCUUUCCCAAUCUCCCAUCAAGGUUGUUUUGGCUGUAAGCAAGAUGCUUAAGCCAGAGAAGUGGCAGGCCACUUUUGAUAACGAAGGGAAGGUUUCUGGUUUUCAGAAAGCACUCAGGUUGAUUGUUUUGGGGGGAGUUGAUCCAUCUAUAAGACCAGAAGUUUGGGAAUUUCUUCUAGGUUGCUAUGCAUUGGGCAGCACUGCAGACUACCGAAGGCAAUUAAGGACAGCCCGAAGGUCUAGGGAACGUUACAAGGACCUCGUGAAGCAAUGCCAGACUAUGCAUUCAAGCAUAGGAACUGGCUCACUUGCCUAUAAUGUGGGUUCAAAAGUUAUGGAUAUGAGGACAUCCUCCAAAGAUGGGGGAAAAAGGGAAUCAAAAGUUGAAUGUAGACAAGCUUCCACUGAUGAUACUGAUAAAACGGAGAAAUAUUCUGAUUUGGGUAAUAACGGUACUGAUAAGUCAUAUGCUGACCAAAGAGAGUGUUGUAGUGAUAUCACUGACCUUGUCAGUGUGAGGGGAAAUACUCAGACUGCUGCAUAUGACUCUUGUUUUUUAUCAACUUCUGGUCUGUAUGGCCGCUGUUCCUCAAAAAUAGGGGGAGAAUGUCACGGAUCAGAAUUCAUAACUGAAUGUCAUUUUGAUUUUCCCCCUUUACCAGUAACAGAUUUGUUUGAGAAGAGUGAAGACAAGAAAGAAUUUGAUGCAAAUGAGGAAGGGUAUUCUGCACAAUGUAAAUUGAUAUUUGAGGAUGACAAUAUGCAUAGUUUUCAAAUCAAUAACAAUGCUGAUUUAAUCAUGGAAUCAAAUGUUUCACCCUCACUAUCUAACAAUAUCUCAUGUCCCUUUAACUCGGAAAUUCAGUUGAUCCAUCCUGAUGCUUAUGAGCCAGUUCUGACAUCCAACAAUGUAAGUUAUAAAACAGAAACAGUCAACAGAUUAAGAAUAUCAGAUGUUCCAGAAACACCUUUGGUAAAUGCAACCAUAUCUCAAGAAGGGGCUGCCAAUGAUGAAAGAGUAUCUGAAUGGCUUUGGACUCUGCACAGAAUAGUUGUUGAUGUGGUGAGAACGGAUAGUCAUCUUGAAUUCUAUGAGGAUACGAGAAAUUUAGCUAGAAUGUCUGAUAUUCUUGCUGUUUAUGCAUGGGUUGAUUCUGCAACUGGUUAUUGUCAAGGUAUGAGUGACCUGCUGUCUCCUUUUGUUGUUCUCUUUGAGGAUAACGCGGAUGCAUUUUGGUGCUUUGAGAUGCUCCUUAGGAGAAUGCGUGAAAAUUUUCAGAUGGAGGGACCAACUGGUGUGAUGAAGCAGCUGCAAGCAUUGUGGCAUAUCUUGGAACUCACAGACAGGGAAAUUUUUGCACAUCUGUCGAAUAUAGGUGCUGAAAGCCUUCAUUUUGCAUUUCCAAUGCUGCUGGUUCUAUUUCGCCGAGAAUUAUCUUUCAAUGAGGCUCUUCGUAUGUGGGAGAUGAUGUGGGCAGCUGAUUUUGAUGAAUCUGUCACAUGCAAUUUAGAGGAGAUUUGUCUGGAAGCAUUGAUUGUACAGCUUCCGAGGGAUUCUGGGUCAGAAAUCGGAGAAGAAAACUCAGAAAAUGGAAAUGAUGGUGUAAAGGAUGGCCUACAGUUGAAACAUUCCUUGUCUGAGAAUGAUGGAAUAAAAUCAGCAUCAGCUUAUCCCUUUUGUGGUUUGACACGGAAUUUUUGGUCUAGAAAUGAUCGCCUUCAAAUAUGCAAUGUUGUCUCAUCAACUAGGAAAGGAGAUGACGAUUUGCCUGUCUUUUGUGUGGCUGCUAUUCUUAUCAUGAACCGUCAAAAAAUCAUCAGGGAAACCCGUUCAAUAGAUGACAUGAUAAAGAUUUUCAAUGAUAAGCUUCUGAAAAUCCAUGUCAAAAGAUGCAUAGGUGCUGCGAUCAAACUCAGAAAGAAAUAUUUGUACAAGGUUAGCUAAUCAAGAACAAAGGCCAUCCAGCUCGGAAUAGUGAGUAGGUCACAGCAUUUCCUGCCUACUAUCAUGGCAAGAAAAGGCAGCAGCACUUUGAGCCAGUAUUUAGUAUCUGGGAUUCCUAGUUUGGACAUGGCAUGAAAGUUUAUGUUGAAUCUCUUAUGAUGGAGCAUGAAGCAGAAGUGCUUUUGCUGUCCGAAGAUUCAUCCUUUUUUUGCACCUCCAUUUUCUUCAAGUCUGUUCCAAGCUUACAAAGAUUUCUCCUUUUGCCCCCUCAUUUUGGAGCCAUGAGAAAGACUGGAAAGUGGUAAGAAGUCCCAUCUAUUCGAGGUUCAUGCAGAUGUAAGCAUUUGGCUAUUACGCGGAACCUCUCACAGGUUAGGCAAGCGUGAUCUGGCUUUUUUUUACCUUUAUAUAAUUUAUAUUAUUUUGUAAAUGUAAAUGUUAAAUUGUUCAUCAAGUUUGUUUUCUUAUUUAUGCACGUGAAUUUACAGAUAAUAUUCUCUGUAGUUAAUAGAUGAUUGUUGAACUUUUAGCUUUUCUGUAGGACAGUGUAGGCCAGGAUUGAAAGAAGUUAUACAAUUUUAUUUGUGGAAAGAAAAGAGUUUUUCCA
Molecule: non-coding RNA, 3051 nt
Organism: Theobroma cacao (cacao)
Lineage: Eukaryota; Viridiplantae; Streptophyta; Magnoliopsida; Malvales; Malvaceae
Source: RefSeq, a predicted model, not a curated record